RNAcentral lists this long non-coding RNA (626 nucleotides) under Homo sapiens (human). Its description in RNAcentral is "non-protein coding LINC01271:5". The record is from RNAcentral. Lineage: Eukaryota; Metazoa; Chordata; Mammalia; Primates; Hominidae.
CCGCAUGUGGAGCAGGGAAGGAAGGAUAUCUGGUUGGGAUGCUGUGGAGAGUGAGGAGCCGGGGCAGGGAGCAGCUAGAGUCAGAACCAAGAAGUGAAUCACGGCUGGCCCUGCCCUUGAGAAGCUCACAAUCAAGUGAUGGAAACAGACAGCUACAACCCAAGAUGGAAAAUAUUCAGAAGUCAAAGGGAGCUCCAGGCAGGUGCCUUCACAGAAGGGGACUCAGGUCCUUCUAGGGAUUCAGAGAAGGCUCCUUGGAGGAAGCAGCAUCCAAACAGGACUCAUGAAGUCAGAAAAACAGUGAACAAACUCCCUUAGAUAUCCCAGAGGGUAACUCACAGGACCUAACCACCUAGAUGCUCAUUGAGCUCUUUGGAGCAUCCAAGACUGAGAACACCUGUGGCAAAUGUUCACCCAGGAAUUCCCAAACCCAAUGGCUAAUGGAACACUUUCCCCCUUGUCACUCCUAUUAGUACCCCCAGAGACUCUGUGUCCCUCAGAUCUGUGUCCUCAAAAUGGAUAAAUGAUAAAAUAGAUUUGGGAAAUGCUAGUCUGGUCCAAACUUCUUGUUUCCACAAAGAAGAAAACAAAGUUCCACAAAACAUCUCUGACCUCAAAAAUUGUGU